This 550-nucleotide ribosomal RNA is filed under the name uncultured bacterium. Its description in RNAcentral is "bacterial SSU rRNA". It matches the Rfam family "Bacterial small subunit ribosomal RNA", at positions 355 to 896 of the family's 1533-position model. The record is from RNAcentral.
UAGGGAAUCUUCGGCAAUGGACGGAAGUCUGACCGAGCAACGCCGCGUGAGUGAAGAAGGUUUUCGGAUCGUAAAGCUCUGUUGUAAGAGAAGAACGAGUGUGAGAGUGGAAAGUUCACACUGUGACGGUAUCUUACCAGAAAGGGACGGCUAACUACGUGCCAGCAGCCGCGGUAAUACGUAGGUCCCGAGCGUUGUCCGGAUUUAUUGGGCGUAAAGCGAGCGCAGGCGGUUAGAUAAGUCUGAAGUUAAAGGCUGUGGCUUAACCAUAGUACGCUUUGGAAACUGUUUAACUUGAGUGCAAGAGGGGAGAGUGGAAUUCCAUGUGUAGCGGUGAAAUGCGUAGAUAUGUGGAGGAACACCGGUGGCGAAAGCGGCUCUCUGGCUUGUAACUGACGCUGAGGCUCGAAAGCGUGGGGAGCAAACAGGAUUAGAUACCCUGGUAGUCCACGCCGUAAACGAUGAGUGCUAGGUGUUAGACCCUUUCCGGGGUUUAGUGCCGCAGCUAACGCAUUAAGCACUCCGCCUGGGGAGUACGACCGCAAGGUUG